Molecule: long non-coding RNA, 1536 nt
Organism: Capsicum annuum
Lineage: Eukaryota; Viridiplantae; Streptophyta; Magnoliopsida; Solanales; Solanaceae
Exons: 2
Source: RefSeq, a predicted model, not a curated record
CCCUAUGCACACGCACUCACACUCACACAUCCACACACCUCACUAUAAACAAAACACAUGCUAUAUACACAGACAUUGACAAAAAUACACACCAUACUUCAUCCACAGACUGGAAAAAAGCAAAAGAGAAAGAGAUUGAAAUUACACACGCAGAGAAUGAAAAUCGGGGAAAGAGAGAGAAAAUUGAGUGGGAAAAUUAGAGAGAAUCGGGAGAGAGAGCAAAGAGUAGCAAAAAAAAAAGAGGGGAAUUGAGAGAAAGAUUGAGGGAGAGAUCGAGAGGGGUAAUAAACAGAGAAAACAAGGAGAAAUCAGUAGGAAACAGUGAGAAACGGUAGAAGGCAAAUCCAUUCCGGUGAGUUUUCGACGGAAUAACUCCGUUCGUUUUCUCCCCUUUCAUUAAAAAACUCAAUUUCCGGUCCAAACAAUCUUUCCUGCGCCGGAAAAUACCAACUUCGAUCAAAAUCAGUUUCGAAUGCCAUCACCGGAGAAUUCAUGUAGAGCGGAUGAGCUCGACGUUGAGGUUCGAUUUGGAUUGAGGUUCCGAUGGCUGCGAUACUCCGGUCUUUCAUGAGAAUAAUCAAUGAAUUUGAUUCGGAAGGGGUGUGCAAACGUACGACUCUGCUGCCACAAAUUAGGAUAUAGGCUCAAUCACUUGGUCUGACCUUAGGUGGACACCCUUCCAAAGUGCAAUGGAGGUCACCAGCCUAGGCAACGAGUCUUAAUGAUCAUCCAUUAACCCUGUCCAGGUAAAUACGUAUUUUGCACUUUAUUAUGAAAUCGAAGUAUUUUGUGCAAACAAAAGUAAGUCAUGGGAAUUGAUAGACAAGUGUCUUCUAUUCAUCCACGUGGUGGGGAAAUUGUUGUAGUAGAUGGAAUUGCUUACAUUUUGGCGAUUAUGAAUACUUGAGAAAACCUGACAUAUUUAAGAUCACACGAUUUUAUUUAAAAAAGGACAGUACGGGAAAUAUUAUUUAUUGAAAAAAGAGAUGGUCCUGUAUUCUCUAAGAGAAAAACUUUGUUUGACUAGGAUUGUACGAUGACUCGACAUCCAAUUUGAAGUUUGGGGUAUGAAAAAGAGUGCAACAUGGAUAGAGGCGAAGCCAAAAUUUCAAUUAAGGGGGUUCAAUAUUCGAAGGAAACCUAGCCGAAGGGGGUUCAACACCUAUUAUAAAUACAUAAAAAUAAUUUUAAUCAUAUAUAAAUGAUAUAUUUUUCAGUCGAAGGGGGUUCGGCCGAAUCCACUAACAAGGCCUGGCUCUGCCCCUGAACAUGGAUUAAGAUGACGACGAUUGAAUUAAUACACUGCGAUGCAGGUGAAUUCAGACGUUCUUGGAGGCCUGUCACCUUUAACAAGAAUGGCGACGUUGUUGUUGAGAUAUCAAACUGUUAUUGUGGUUUCUAAUUCCAAAAACCAUAAAUUUGAACAACUUAAAGUUACUGGGCUUGAAGCAUCUCUUUCCAUCAAUUGGAUUGUACCAUAUGUUAGACACUUUAUUCUCUCUUCAAUUCUAAGUUUAGUUGCAUUAAUUCAAUAAA